UCGAGCGAUCCCUUCGGGGAUAGCGGCGGACGGGUGAGUAACGCGUGGGAACGUACCCUCUUCUGCGGGAUAGCCUCUGGAAACGGAGAGUAAUACCGCAUACGCCCUUUUGGGGAAAGAUUUAUCGGAGGAGGAUCGGCCCGCGUUAGAUUAGGUAGUUGGUGGGGUAAUGGCCUACCAAGCCUACGAUCUAUAGCUGGUUUUAGAGGAUGAUCAGCCACACUGGGACUGAGACACGGCCCAGACUCCUACGGGAGGCAGCAGUGGGGAAUCUUAGACAAUGGGGGCAACCCUGAUCUAGCCAUGCCGCGUGAGUGACGAAGGUCUUAGGAUCGUAAAGCUCUUUCGCCUGUGAUGAUAAUGACAGUAGCAGGUAAAGAAACCCCGGCUAACUCCGUGCCAGCAGCCGCGGUAAUACGGAGGGGGUUAGCGUUGUUCGGAAUUACUGGGCGUAAAGCGCACGUAGGCGGACCAUCAAGUUGGGGGUGAAAUCCCGGGGCUCAACCCCGGAACUGCCUCCAAAACUGGUGGUCUGGAGUUCGAGAGAGGUGAGUGGAAUUGCGAGUGUAGAGGUGAAAUUCGUAGAUAUUCGCAGGAACAUCAGUGGCGAAGGCGGCUCACUGGCUCGAUACUGACGCUGAGGUGCGAAAGUGUGGGGAGCAAACAGGAUUAGAUACCCUGGUAGUCCACACCGUAAACGAUGAAUGCCAGUCGUCGGGUAGC
Molecule: ribosomal RNA, 723 nt
Filed under: Roseovarius sp. M2M-4
Lineage: Bacteria; Pseudomonadati; Pseudomonadota; Alphaproteobacteria; Rhodobacterales; Roseobacteraceae
Also listed under: 4 other names
Description: bacterial SSU rRNA
Rfam family: Bacterial small subunit ribosomal RNA
Source: RNAcentral